GUUGACACCCAGAGGUCCCGUGGAGGUCUGCAGCCAGAUCUCCAGCAGGUCCCGGAGCGGCUGAGCGGAGGAUGAACCAGCACAGGAGGAAGUGAAAUGCAGAGGUUGUUCCAACUUGCUUUUCCGCAUACUUCGAGAUACCCUAGAAGAUGCGUCUGAUGCUAUCUUUGGAGGCACUUGAAGGCCAUGGUGUAUCAUGUGAAGAUACGAGACAUAAAUCAUCUCCAGGAACGUUUCACCAACGCCAUUACAAGCAAAACUUCAACUGUGCUAAUGCAUGUUCGUCAUCUCUGGAAAACACGUAUUAAUAUGUGUUUUCGAAACAAUGGUGAUCAUAUAGAGCACAUUAUAUAAAUAAAAACAGUUGUCCAACAUAAAA
Molecule: long non-coding RNA, 379 nt
Organism: Amphiprion ocellaris (clown anemonefish)
Lineage: Eukaryota; Metazoa; Chordata; Actinopteri; Pomacentridae
Exons: 2
Source: RefSeq, a predicted model, not a curated record